This is a long non-coding RNA of Numida meleagris (helmeted guineafowl), 1198 nucleotides long. RefSeq lists it as uncharacterized. Lineage: Eukaryota; Metazoa; Chordata; Aves; Galliformes; Numididae. The transcript is spliced from 4 exons. The record is from RefSeq and is a predicted model, not a curated record.
AGCUGACUACUUCAAAGAGUAAAACUCAAGGUGGAAGCAACUUCUCACACUACAUUACACUGUGGUAACUGAGAUGGACCUCUGCUUUCCCUACUGCCGUGUGUCACUGUGCGAGUUGCUACAACUUACCUCAUAGCAAUUAACAGAAAUGAAAGAAACCUCUUGAAAAUGAAGGUUCUCAAGGCUGAAAAUAAACUAUUUCUUCAUAGGGUAUGCACUUAUAUAAACAAACUGCAUGAUAAGUAUGCUGGUGAGAAUGUCAGGAGGAACAGCAUCAGAAGCCUUAAUGAAGAAAGAAGGAAGGAAAAGAGAAUGCUAAUAACCAGAGAACAGUACAUGAUCUUGAUCAUAAAGACAGAAGCCAUCAAUUUCUGGAUAUUUGACAACACUAAACAGAACUUUUUUUUUUAAACUUGAAUCCAUCAACAGGCUUUGCCAGAAUAAGUCAAAUCCUAUCAGAAAUCACUUUGAGGGAAACUUCGACUCUCUUUGGAAAGCUUUAAGGACACCACUGUCAUGUGAAAGACGUACAAAAUAAGAGAUAAGCAAGAGAGCAGAAGAAAAUCCAUACUGAAAUGCAAAGGAGUUUAAUGGCAGUGUUUCAGAAUGAAGUUUCCAAAUGUCUAUUACACAUGAUAACUAAAAGUGCUGUGAAGCUUUGUUGUUGCAAGCACACAGCACCUCUUUUUUUUUUUUUGAAUGUGCUUGUAAUUGCUCGAGAAGUCUCAACUCUUACAAUAUUUCAGUGCAAAAUGUAUUUGAUAAGGAGAUUCUUGGAUUUUUAGUGACCAUUUAAAUAUCUUUUAUGACUUAGGGCACCGUAUUAGUUAUGAUAUCUCAAGACAGGUAAAACUGCCAUCUGUAAGGUAUAAAUGCUCCUUAAAUAGAUCUUUCUGAGGUAAUAGAUACGCACAGCAUCACACAGCCUUUGGGCUUCUUAUCUAUUCAUCUGGCAUCUAAGGUAAGAAAAGUACUAAAGAUUUAUGAACAAUAUCCAGUGUUUUCAAAAAGAAAGCAUAUCUGAAUAUAGAAAAAGGUAACUUCAGAUGUUGUUUAAAAACACACCAUAUUUGAAACAGUUUGGAAUAAUUUUUACUAGAGAUAAUUAAGAGCCCUUGAUGGAUAUUUUUAUUCAUCUUAUUACUGUGCCUCGUCUUUUUUCUUAUAGAAGUGUUAUACAGUUAAACUCUAGUGUCAA